CUCCAUGUCAGAACAUAUUCAACACCUCACACAAAUUCUUUAUCAAUGAAUCUAAAUGUUUGUUUGCAACCACCAAGGUCUCAUACUUGGGCCAUCUUCUUCAAGAUGACAUUGUUUCCCCAUACCCAGAUAAAAUUCAAGCCAUUCUACUUUGGGCCUAGUCCUACAUCCCUUACCACCCUACGUGUAUUUUUGGGUAUCAUGGAAUUCUAUCGGAAGUUCAUUCGCGAUUAUGCCACUCUUACCUCUCCACUCACAAAUUUACUAAAAUAAUCAAAGUUUACGUGGAAUACAAAUACACAAAAAGCUUUCAUACAAAUGAAAAAUGUCCUAACUACCACUCCAGUGUUAAGUCUCCCAAAUUUUUCCAUUCAUUUCAUUGUUGAAAUUAAUGUUUCCAACAUAGCCAUUGGCGUCGUGCUGUCCCAAGACGGACAUCCCAUCAUGUUCUUCAACAAAAAACUUUGUCCUGAAAGCAAGCUAGUUCAGUCUAUGUCAGAGAAAUGCUAGCUAUAAUAGAAGUAAUGAAAAAUGGCGUCAUUACCUCAUUGGUACUCACUUCAAAAUUAUAACAGAUCAACAAAGUCUCAAAGGGCUACUUACCAAUGCAUGUCACACGCCGGAACAACAAAAAUGGGUCACCAAACUGCUAGGGUACAACUUUGACAUCAUCUACCGUCCAGGCCGCCACAAUCAAGCUGUUGAUUUCUUAUCCCGACCUCCCAAAUCCCAUUUUCUUGCCAUAUCCUCCCCAAUCCCAAACAUUGUCAAAGAAUUACAAUAGUAUUAUAAGACAAUCCAAUGAGAAGAAGAAGUGCGCAAAUUAAUUUCUUUACAUAAAACGUCCUACAGUUUCCAUCAGGAACUCUUGUACCAUGGCCAAAGCCUAUAUGUUCCUUCCAUUGACAGGUUGCACUUCACCAUAAUCCCUGAGUUACACGCCUCACCCACAGCAGGCCACUUCGGUAUUAAAGCCACCAUGGCUCGACUUGCUGCCUCACUCUUCUGGCCAGGCAUGUACCGUGACACCAAAUCAUACAUCAAACAAUGUCUUCCCCGCCAACACAACAAGCCCAUAAAUCAAAAACAUUUGUGAUUACUCCAACCCAUACCCCUACCAAAUAAAUUAUGGGAAGAACUAACUACAAAUUUCAUCGCCCACUUACCUUCGUCUUAUGGACACAGAGUCAUCUAGGUAAUCUGUGAUAGGCUCUCCAAAUCAUUCCACUUCAUUGCUCUUCCUACGUCCUUCAACACACCCAACUAGCUAACCGUUUUUCUAUUGAGAUUUGCAGGUUACAUGGAGUUCCCAAGUCCAUUAUUUCUGAUCAUGAUCCUGUUUUCCAAAGCCGUUUUUGGAAGGAAUUGUUUCACCUGCAAGGUACAAAGUUGAAGUUCAGUAUUGCGUAUCACCCUCAGACAGAUGGACAAACAGAGAUUGUCAAUCAAAGUUUAAAACUUUACCUCAGAUGUUUAACCAGCAAAAAUCCAAGAACGUGGUACUAAUACUUGCAUCUCAUUGAGUUUUGGUACAAUUCUUCAUACCAUUCCGCUAUCAAGACAUCUUCGUUUCAAUCCUUGUACGAACGACCAUCACACACAAUGUCAAACUACGUUCCAGGAACCACCAUAAAACCAAAUUUGAAAAUGACACUACAUGACCGCACACAAAUGCUUCACCAAUUGAAAGAUACAUUGACACAAACCCAACAAAGAAUGGCGCAGAUAGCCAACCGGUCACGACACCACCACACUUUCGAAGUAAACGAUUGGGUUCUUCUCUGUCGUCAAGCUUACCACUAAGUUUCACUCACUUCCAAAACUCACUACAAGCUCUCACAAAGAUUUUUCUGCCAUACCCCACUAAGCAUCACAUCAGCGAAGUGGCCUAUGAACUCCUCCUACCACCAUUCUUACACAUUCACCCAAUUUUCUACAUAUAACUACAUAAACCCUAUCACGGUCAAACUCCUCCCCCAUCCUUCCACUACACGCAAGAUUUGGAAAUCCCACCCCCACCAGCACACAAUCUCCCCACUCUCAUUCCAAACGAAGAAGUAAGCUCUGAUACCCCAACUACACCACAUAACUCUUUAACCACGAACUCACCUAACUCCCCUGUAGUUUUAGCAUUUAAGGACACACGACUUUCAUCGACGUUCCAAAUCCCACCUUCACUUGCACUAAUGACAAUGGACCCACAUGCUUCUGCAAACUCAAUUAAAUAUCCAAUUGUAUACCACUUUGGCCCACAUGCUUCUGAAAACAUAACUAAGCAUCCAACUAUAUCUCACUGUCCAAAUGUUUUUCCCAUCUAGAAGUUUCUAAACCCAAAUGCUAUGUCUCCCAUCCACACAAGUAGCACACUUCUUCCCAAUAUGACCUUCACACAGCAACCCAAUCUCUUGCCUUCAAUCCAACCAACCAUUGGACCGACCGAAAUCCACACGCUGAGCACACUUAAGAACAAUAUUAAAUUCCCACAUCAGCCACCUACUUUUCC
This 2503-nucleotide long non-coding RNA is filed under the name Phaseolus vulgaris (common bean). Its description in RNAcentral is "long non-coding RNA (PVUL_LNC001280)". The record is from RNAcentral. Lineage: Eukaryota; Viridiplantae; Streptophyta; Magnoliopsida; Fabales; Fabaceae.